GCCCGCCUGUCUUCACCAGGGGGCGCCUGUAGGCAGAGGGCACAGCCCCUGUCCCGAUCGCUGGCCACGCCUGCGGGCAGCGCAGUCCCGGUGGGUGGUGACUAAGUCGCUUCUGUCCUAGGCUGGCAGAGUGCCAGGCUCAGCUCUUCUCGCUCCAUGGGACAUGGCCGCCCAGGCCGCCUUGCUGGGGCUCAUCUAGGAGUGGCGUUCCUCAUGUCGCCCUGAAGGCCAGCUCUGGACCUCCCCAGGAAAGUGCCACCUUGCAGAGCUGCUCCUCCGGAGCCCCGACCCUUGGGACACCCUCCAGCCG
This 310-nucleotide long non-coding RNA is filed under the name Heterocephalus glaber (naked mole-rat). RNAcentral describes it as "lncRNA (ENSHGLG00100033339.1)". The record is from RNAcentral. Lineage: Eukaryota; Metazoa; Chordata; Mammalia; Rodentia; Bathyergidae.